AUGAGAAUUGAUUUUCCACGUUGCUUUCAGUUUUUGGAACAAAUUGUAGUUGUGGAAGUAUCUGUGCACCUAAAUGCUUAUUCUCUGAUCAUACAUCUAUAUCCACUUUCUGGUCUAUCUUCUCUCAUGUGUUCUCAAUUAAUAAUAAUACAACAGUUGAACAGUAUGACUCAAAUCCAUUUCUAAACAAAGAACACUAGAGUAGUCUACACAAAUUCAUUAUGAGAGAGAGAGAGAGAGAGCAACUUCUCUGUGGUAACUGUUUACAAAUGCUCUUGGUUUGUACUUAAUCACAUUAUUUUUAACGAGUAGAGACGUUGUCAUAUAAUUGUUUUUUUUCUUUUUAAUUUACUUCAAACUCACUGUAAAUCAUUACAUGUCGCUGAUUUGGUGAUAGUAGACAUUGAUGAGAGACUAUAAUGUUAAAUCAGGGUUUACUUUUGGUAAUAUGCUCUUCAACUUUAGUUUUGCUUGGUAGAUGAUUCAAUCUUCAUUGCAUAGUGAGUAAGUGCUAAUUUCGUUUUUUUUCUUUAGAUUAGUUUUGUGGCAUUGGUACAAGAGUGAAACUGACCUGAUCAAUGCUGAGAGCACUUGCCACAACUGUUUCACACUCUCUCAAGAUACCAAAGCUCUUCCAUUUCUUUGGUCUUCACUCAAAUUUCUUUCUGGAGUUUCAAAUAAAUUAAGUUGCUGUGCAGAAUGCUCUACAGGGUGGUCAAGACUAAAGAACAAGUCAUACUGUCCCAUGCGCGAUCCUUUUCAGUUUAACACUUGAAAUUGGUUUGCACCCUCUGUGGCGGCGAGCUUCGGAUCACCAAACAUGUUGAAUAUGGGUGUUACAGAAAGCUAGGAAAUGGGCACAUUGACUUUACCUGUUAAAAGGAUUGCUGUAAGUGUGGCUAAUCAAAGAUGUACGAGCCUAUCAGUUAACCUUCAGAUUAAGAUGUGUGCCAAGGGAAGUGAAGACCAAGAAAGAGGUCCGCCAUGAGAAAGAUUUGAUCAGACAACUGGUGAAAGAGAAGCAUCACACUUUGCUUCUUUUAUGAGAGGGUAAUUGGAUUGAAGAAAUUGGUCUUGAAAGGUAAUAAGAUGUUUAAGGGUGGAUCAACACGUUCUAGUCCGUCUACCUCGAGACAUUGAUGCAGCUUUGGGUUAUUUGACUUAUUUCUAAGACUACAGUUUGCAGCAGAAAGGAAGGAAGAAGGUUAAUUAGAAAGGGGUAGUUUGGGACUAAUUGUACCAAUUCUUCUUCAUCUUACUGAUGCCUACUGAUAGUAGUAUGUCAUUUAUUUACUUGAGUUAAUUCUUUGAUCUGGACCACAUGGAAGAUGAAUUUUUUGAUGAUGAGGAAGAA
Long non-coding RNA from Argentina anserina (silverweed cinquefoil), 1354 nucleotides. RefSeq lists it as uncharacterized. NCBI's taxonomy places the organism in Eukaryota, Viridiplantae, Streptophyta, Magnoliopsida, Rosales, Rosaceae. The record is from RefSeq and is a predicted model, not a curated record. The transcript has 3 exons.